This 799-nucleotide ribosomal RNA is filed under the name uncultured Bacteroidota bacterium. RNAcentral describes it as "bacterial SSU rRNA". It matches the Rfam family "Bacterial small subunit ribosomal RNA", at positions 62 to 867 of the family's 1533-position model. Lineage: Bacteria; Pseudomonadati; Bacteroidota. The record is from RNAcentral.
UCGAGGGGUAUAGUUCUUCGGAGCUAGAGACCGGCACACGGGUGCGUAACGCGUAUGCAAUCUGCCUUUCACAGAGGGAUAGCCCAGAGAAAUUUGGAUUAAUACCUCAUAGUAUUAUGGAAGGGCAUCCUUUUAUAAUUAAAGUCACAACGGUGAAAGAUGAGCAUGCGUCCCAUUAGCUAGUUGGUAAGGUAACGGCUUACCAAGGCAACGAUGGGUAGGGGUCCUGAGAGGGAGAUCCCCCACACUGGUACUGAGACACGGACCAGACUCCUACGGGAGGCAGCAGUGAGGAAUAUUGGUCAAUGGGCGCAAGCCUGAACCAGCCAUGCCGCGUGCAGGAUGACGGUCCUAUGGAUUGUAAACUGCUUUUGUACGAGAAGAAACACUGAUUCGUGAAUCAGCUUGACGGUAUCGUAAGAAUAAGGAUCGGCUAACUCCGUGCCAGCAGCCGCGGUAAUACGGAGGAUCCAAGCGUUAUCCGGAAUCAUUGGGUUUAAAGGGUCCGUAGGCGGUUUAGUAAGUCAGUGGUGAAAGCCCAUCGCUCAACGGUGGAACGGCCAUUGAUACUGCUGAACUUGAAUUAUUAGGAAGUAACUAGAAUAUGUAGUGUAGCGGUGAAAUGCUUAGAUAUUACAUGGAAUACCAAUUGCGAAGGCAGGUUACUACUAAUGGAUUGACGCUGAUGGACGAAAGCGUGGGGAGCGAACAGGAUUAGAUACCCUGGUAGUCCACGCCGUAAACGAUGGAUACUAGCUGUUGGAAGCAAUUUCAGUGGCUAAGCGAAAGUGAUAAGUAU